RNAcentral lists this ribosomal RNA (477 nucleotides) under uncultured bacterium. Its description in RNAcentral is "partial 16S ribosomal RNA". It matches the Rfam family "Bacterial small subunit ribosomal RNA", at positions 28 to 523 of the family's 1533-position model. The record is from RNAcentral.
GACGAACGCUGGCGGCAUGCCUAACACAUGCAAGUCGAACGGUAAGGCUUCCUUCGGGAAGUACACGAGUGGCGAACGGGUGAGUAACACGUGGGUAACCUACCCUUGACUGGGGGAUAACCGAGGGAAACUUCGGCUAAUACCGCAUAACGCGCAUUGCCUCAAGGUGGUGUACCAAAGCUCCGGCGGUUAAGGAUGGGCCCGCGGCAGAUUAGCGUGUUGGUGGGGUAAGGGCUUACCAAGGCGACGAUCUGUAGCUGGUCUGAGAGGACGAUCAGCCACACUGGAACUGAGACACGGUCCAGACUCCUACGGGAGGCAGCAGUGGGGAAGCUUGCGCAAUGGGCGAAAGCCUGACGCAGCAAUGCCGCGUGAGGGAAGACGGCCUUAGGGUUGUAAACCUCUUUCAGCAGGGACGAACACAGACGGUACCUGCAGAAGAAGCCCCGGCUAACUACGUGCCAGCAGCCGCGGUAA